Molecule: ribosomal RNA, 402 nt
Filed under: uncultured bacterium
Lineage: Bacteria
Description: bacterial SSU rRNA
Rfam family: Bacterial small subunit ribosomal RNA
Source: RNAcentral
AAUCAACGCUGGCGGCGUGCCUCAGACAUGCAAGUCGAACGCGAAAGUUUCCUUCGGGAAGCGAGUAGAGUGGCGUCCGGGUGAGUAACACGUAGGUAAUCUACCUUUGGGUGGGGAAUAACAACCGGAAACGGUUGCUAAUACCGCAUAAUGCAGCGGCACCACAUGGUGACAGUUGUUAAAGCGGGGGAUCGCAAGACCUCGCGCCUAAAGAGGAGCCUGCGGCGGAUUAGCAGUUGGUAAGGUAACGGCUUACCAAGGCAACGAUCCGUAGCCGGCCUGAGAGGGCGGUCGGCCACACUGACACUGAAAUACGGGUCAGACUCCUACGGGAGGCAGCAGUCGGGAAUUUUGGGCAAUGGGCGAAAGACCUGACCCAGCAACGCCGCGUGAAGGAUGAAA